This 262-nucleotide long non-coding RNA is filed under the name Mytilus galloprovincialis (Mediterranean mussel). The record is from RNAcentral. Lineage: Eukaryota; Metazoa; Mollusca; Bivalvia; Mytilida; Mytilidae.
UGCCGUAAUCAUCUCAUAAAGGUUUCUCUCUGCUAAAGUGAAAGUAGAUUUCCAGAAAACCUCUCUCGUCGUAUUUAUAGAAAGUUGACUAAGUGGAACGACAGCUGACGGGACUUUCCCGUAGGUCGAAGGUCGUCUUCUUCUUCUUCAAAACAAACAAUUGCCAUGUGUAAGAAGGUUUAGUUUUCUUAAAACAUUCAAAACCUUCACACUAAAUUAUAAGGACAUCAAGACAGCAUAAAUUCCGACUGCUCUUGCAGGC